Long non-coding RNA from Neopsephotus bourkii (Bourke's parrot), 569 nucleotides. RefSeq lists it as uncharacterized. NCBI's taxonomy places the organism in Eukaryota, Metazoa, Chordata, Aves, Psittaciformes, Psittacidae. The transcript is spliced from 3 exons. The record is from RefSeq and is a predicted model, not a curated record.
ACCUGACAAGGCAGCUAAUUGAGUGAUUGGGAUCACAUGGGCCCAUUCACAGGUAUUAAUGUGAAGCCAAGUGCAAACUCAUGCAUUGAAAGGCAAAAAGGACCUUCUAGAAAACAGUGGCUCCAAAAGUAGACUAAAGAUUGCUGUGGUAAGAUUUGGAUUACUGUUCCAUCCUUACUACCUGGGAGACUUAUGUGGAAAUCCAGGAGGUGAGGGACACCUCCCCAGUGGACACCACAAAAUGUCAUUGUGGGAUGUGAAGUGCCAGGUGGAGGAUGCAGUGGGGAGGAUCCCAUUGCUGGAUGUUUGGAUAGCUGCUCUGGGCUGAGAUACAAAGCCAACUCACACCAUAUGGAACAAUUCACAGGCCCCUGGUGCAGCCCAGGACAGUUUCCAAUGGACAGUGUGGGUCUGACCAGCCUUUUCUGGAGGGUGCGGAAGUAUUAAUGCAAGGUAUGGAUAUGUGUCAUGCCAUGCCAAGUGUGAUCUAAAGAUGAAUAGAAUAGAAUAUGAAGGUGUAUAAAGAUUUAAUCUUUAUAGAGAGUUCUUGAGAACAUCAGUGCAAACCU